This 252-nucleotide ribosomal RNA is filed under the name uncultured Actinomycetales bacterium. RNAcentral describes it as "partial 16S ribosomal RNA". It matches the Rfam family "Bacterial small subunit ribosomal RNA", at positions 79 to 334 of the family's 1533-position model. Lineage: Bacteria; Bacillati; Actinomycetota; Actinomycetes; Actinomycetales. The record is from RNAcentral.
CUUGCAGGGUACUCGAGUGGCGAACGGGUGAGUAACACGUGGGUGAUCUGCCCUGCACUUCGGGAUAAGCUUGGGAAACUGGGUCUAAUACCGGAUAGGAACCAUCUUUAGUGUGGUGGUUGGAAAGUUUUUUCGGUGUAGGAUGAGCUCGCGGCCUAUCAGCUUGUUGGUGGGGUAAUGGCCUACCAAGGCGGCGACGGGUAGCCGGCCUGAGAGGGUGUACGGCCACAUUGGGACUUAGAUACGGCCCAG